CCCUUAGAUGUCCUGGGCCGCACGCGCGUUACACUGAUGCAUUCAACGAGCCUAUAGCCUUGGCCGAGAGGCCUGGGCAAUCUUGUUAACGUGCAUCGUGAUAGGGAUAGAUUAUUGAAAUUAUUAAUCUUGAACGAGGAAUUCCUAGUAAACGCAGAUCAUCAAUCUGCAUUGAUUACGUCCCUGCCCUUUGUACACACCGCCCGUCGCACCUACCGAUUGGAUGGUCCGGUGAAGCCUCGGGAUUGUGGUUCUUGCCGCUUUAUUGUGGCGUGACCGCGAGAACUUGUCUAAACCUUAUCAUCUAGAGGAAGGUGAAGUCGUAACA
Molecule: ribosomal RNA, 328 nt
Filed under: uncultured eukaryote
Lineage: Eukaryota
Description: partial 18S ribosomal RNA
Rfam family: Eukaryotic small subunit ribosomal RNA
Source: RNAcentral